Paramacrobiotus metropolitanus is the source of this 987-nucleotide long non-coding RNA. RefSeq lists it as uncharacterized. The transcript has 4 exons. The record is from RefSeq and is a predicted model, not a curated record. Lineage: Eukaryota; Metazoa; Tardigrada; Eutardigrada; Parachela; Macrobiotidae.
AUUGAUGCGGCACGUAAAUUCUCGGACAUGCACCAGAAUGAUCAGGUACUCUACAUAAAAUCCCUUCGCAUAUUACGAAUCUGUUAAUUUCGUAUUUGGUAAAAUUCGUAUUAGCGUGCGACGGUUUCUUAUACAUUUUGUACCACAUCCGGCUAUCAACACACUGUUGUUGAGUUUCGCGCCAAAAUUGCGGAUCACGGAAUCUUUUUCUCUGAAGGAAACAGCUGUUUAUCCUGUGGCCUAUCCAUCGGCGUCAUCCACCUCUUCAACUCUGGAUUGCGUGCCAUAUAAGACGGAUAGUCGUGGAUUUCAUCGACGUCUCUGCGGUCGCGCUCAACCGGUAUAACAUUAAGCAAUUUGUUAUCCAUGCUAAGACAUUCAACAACCUUCGCUGAUUUCCCUAAAACGCCCAUAUAAAGAUACUUCGCCGCAGGAUGCUGCUUCAGCACUGCGUCCACCGAGGAAAUCUGAAUGGGAAGUUGCAAGGGAUCGUCACCCCCACGAACUUGACUGGAGCCAAAGUUAGGCACGGGACUAAUCGAUGUCGGAGACGAGGACGAACAGGUUCAUCCGCGACGGAAGCUGCUCUUGGGAGAUAUUGACGAAUCAUCUCCUGUACUACACUACGCACAAACUCUUCAUCGCGCUGAUCAGAUCCCUUUUUAAUCGGGGCUACGUGAACUAGUGUAGUUUCUUUAGCUUCCGUUUUCACCGGGGCAUCAACCACUUUUGUCACUGGUGGCGACGGGACUGGACGCGGCCACUCCUGCUUAGCCUUUUCGACACCAAUUCGUUCUGUUAACAUCAACGCGGGAAUUGCGGGUGACGGCUUAACUCCCACAGGAAUUAGCGGAUCAAAAUCGUGUGACCUAAUGACAUCCGACAUGAGCUAAAAAGUCUAAACCUAAAACAACGUGGUCCCUAUCGAAAGUGGAACUCACAAGCACUGCGUGCUCGAAAGCCAUCCCAAAUUCGUGGAUGGUGACC